RNAcentral lists this long non-coding RNA (295 nucleotides) under Fukomys damarensis (Damara mole-rat). Its description in RNAcentral is "lncRNA (ENSFDAG00000024475.1)". Lineage: Eukaryota; Metazoa; Chordata; Mammalia; Rodentia; Bathyergidae. The record is from RNAcentral.
CCAAGCCUCAGAUUUCACUCAUGGCACCUUGAACCCCGGGAAGUGGAUGGGGAGCUGGCAGGGAUGGUGUCAGGACAGCUCCAAAAGAAGCCCAUUGCUUGAGUAAAAAUUUCUAGCCCUGCCUGAGCCGUGAUGCAUUAUGAGUUUCAGUUCAGGGCCAGGAAGAGAUGAAUCAAAGGAAAGUAACGCGAUGUGUGGAAAUAGCAGAGUUUGUCCUUCAUGAUCCCUAUCACACAGAGCUGCUGGCUGGAUCUGGAUGGAGGAUCAGAUCGGAGGCCCAGGAUGAGCACAGGGU